GAAAAUAAAAGAAAAGAGAAGAAAUAAAUAAUAGGGAAAGAAAAUGAGUAGUAAUUUAUAUAAGUAAAUUAGCAACCAAUUUUAGAAACCAAUUAUGGUUGCUAAUUUCUUUUCAAAAUUGGGCAGAAAUUUUUUAAAGAAAAAUUUUAUAAUCGAUUUAUAAUUAAUUAUAAAAUUGGUUACUAAUAGCAAUCAAUUUCAAUUGAUUGGAAAAAAAUUGAUUGCAAAAA
RNAcentral lists this unclassified non-coding RNA (230 nucleotides) under Hevea brasiliensis (rubber tree). Lineage: Eukaryota; Viridiplantae; Streptophyta; Magnoliopsida; Malpighiales; Euphorbiaceae. The record is from RNAcentral.